UAUUGGGCGUAAGCGCGCGUAGGCGGUUUUUUAAGUCUGAUGUGAAAGCCCACGGCUCAACCGUGGAGGGUCAUUGGAAACUGGAAAACUUGAGUGCAGAAGAGGAAAGUGGAAUUCCAUGUGUAGCGGUGAAAUGCGCAGAGAUAUGGAGGAACACCAGUGGCGAAGGCGACUUUCUGGUCUGUAACUGACGCUGAUGUGCGAAAGCGUGGGGAUCAAACAGGAUUAGAUACCCUGGUAGUCAAGGGCG
This 250-nucleotide ribosomal RNA is filed under the name uncultured Staphylococcus sp. RNAcentral describes it as "partial 16S ribosomal RNA". It matches the Rfam family "Bacterial small subunit ribosomal RNA", at positions 552 to 802 of the family's 1533-position model. The record is from RNAcentral. Lineage: Bacteria; Bacillati; Bacillota; Bacilli; Caryophanales; Staphylococcaceae.